Molecule: ribosomal RNA, 439 nt
Filed under: uncultured bacterium
Lineage: Bacteria
Description: bacterial SSU rRNA
Rfam family: Bacterial small subunit ribosomal RNA
Source: RNAcentral
GAUGAACGCUGGCGGCGUGCUUAACACAUGCAAGUCGAACGGGAAACCUUUUAUUGAAGCUUCGGCAGAUUUAGAUUGUUUCUAGUGGCGGACGGGUGAGUAACGCGUGGGUAACCUGCCUUGUACAGGGGGAUAACAGUCAGAAAUGACUGCUAAUACCGCAUAAGCGCACAGGACCGCAUGGUCCGGUGUGAAAAACUCCGGUGGUAUAAGAUGGACCCGCGUUGGAUUAGCUAGUUGGUGAGGUAACGGCCCACCAAGGCGACGAUCCAUAGCCGGCCUGAGAGGGUGAACGGCCACAUUGGGACUGAGACACGGCCCAGACUCCUACGGGAGGCAGCAGUGGGGAAUAUUGCACAAUGGGGGAAACCCUGAUGCAGCGACGCCGCGUGAAGGAAGAAGUAUCUCGGUAUGUAAACUUCUAUCAGCAGGGAAGAAA